Molecule: ribosomal RNA, 497 nt
Filed under: uncultured bacterium
Lineage: Bacteria
Description: partial 16S ribosomal RNA
Rfam family: Bacterial small subunit ribosomal RNA
Source: RNAcentral
GAUGAACGCUGGCGGCGUGCCUAAUACAUGCAAGUCGAGCGAACGGACGAGAAGCUUGCUUCUCUGAUGUUAGCGGCGGACGUGUGAGUAACACGUGUAUAACCUACCUAUAAGACUGGGAUAACUUCGGGAAACGGGCGCUAAUACCGGAUAAUCUUUUGAUCCGCAUGGUUCAAAAGUGAAAGACGGUCUUGCUGUCACUUAUAGAUGGAUCCGCGCUGCAUUAGCUAGUUGUUAAGGUAACGGCCUACCAAGGCAACGAUGCAUAGACGACCUGAUAGGGUGAUAGGCCACACGGGAGGUGGGCCAGCGUCCAGAGUCCUACGGUAGGCAGCAGAAGGGAAUCGGACGCAAUAGGCGAAAGCAUGACGGAGCGGCGGGGAGUCAGAGAUGAAGGUGCCCGGAGCGUAAAGAUCGGUUAUUAGGGAAGAACAUAUGUGUAAGUAGAUGUGCAGAGCUUGACGGUAACUAAUAAGAAAGCCACGGCUAACUACGUG